YGGCUGUGAUGACUUCUUAGGACACCUUUGGAUUCCCCAUGAAAACAAACUCAUGAAACACYUGAGCUGC
This 70-nucleotide small nucleolar RNA is filed under the name Amphilophus citrinellus (Midas cichlid). Its description in RNAcentral is "Small nucleolar RNA SNORD58 (ENSACIG00000020127.1)". It matches the Rfam family "Small nucleolar RNA SNORD58". From Rfam's summary of the family: snoRNA U58 is found in introns 1, 3 and 6 of the ribosomal protein RPL17 gene in humans. U58 is a member of the C/D class of snoRNA which contain C (UGAUGA) and D (CUGA) box motifs. The record is from RNAcentral. Lineage: Eukaryota; Metazoa; Chordata; Actinopteri; Cichliformes; Cichlidae.